Cygnus atratus (black swan) is the source of this 839-nucleotide long non-coding RNA. RefSeq lists it as uncharacterized. Lineage: Eukaryota; Metazoa; Chordata; Aves; Anseriformes; Anatidae. The transcript has 5 exons. The record is from RefSeq and is a predicted model, not a curated record.
GGCCGGCCGCCGGCGAUUGCUUUCAGCCUGGUCCUGGCCCGGCGUAGCCGGGGCUCGGCAGUUCCAGCUCAGAGUGAAGUCAGCCCGGUGAGCGUCAGGGCUGCUUGGAAGCAAGAUGAAGAGGGGUGAAAGAAAGGGUUUAAGCUUCUAAGGUAGCCGGAACUUAACGCAGAGCCGUCACUAGUCUGUUACGAUUGUUCAGGCGGAUUGCUUCUGUUUCGUUAUUCACAUCACUUGGGAACCUCCUCUUUCGUGUCUGUCCUAUCGGCAUUUAAAAGAGAAUGUUCCACCUUCUCUGCUCCUACUUUCCCGCACCUCGUACUUAAUAGAUUUAAAGCCACAGCCUGUACCAGAAAAUAAGAUAGGUGAAGCUAAGGAAGUGAUGACAUCCCUCCCUGAGCAUCAAGAAACCCUGGUGGAUCCUGCCCCCGCUGUACAGGGAAGAAAGAAUGAAGAAUUUAUAUCUCAGCCAACAGAGAAAUUGCCGGUGUCAGAAGUGCCAGUUAAGCCUCCCCCACGAGAGACUAAACUGGAAGCAUCUCAGAGCAGCAAGGCUGGUGCCAACGGAGUCUAGCCUGAAGCCAGCAAGGACAAUCUACCGCUGGAAGAGAAAAGCUUUCAUCUCUCCACCUCCUUAAAAGGGAAGAAUGAUUUUCCAGCUGGCUGCUUUUACACAGAAACGUGUCAGUAGUCCUAAGGGGCUCUCUCCCUCUCUUCCAAGCUUAUUAGCAGUCAGGCAGUGCUAAGACUCUCCAGAUGACACCAGCUUCUCAUUUGUACUCCAUUCCCUCUACCCCCCCAGCAUUUUAACUUAUGUUGUAAAUAUGUUGAUACUUGCA